GGAAAUGUGCCCGAAUAAUUAAGGACCACUUUGAUAGAGUGAACUAUGUGGGUUCAAGUCCCUCCAUUUCCU
RNAcentral lists this transfer RNA (72 nucleotides) under Elops saurus (ladyfish). Its description in RNAcentral is "tRNA-Ile". It matches the Rfam family "tRNA". Rfam says of the family: Transfer RNA (tRNA) molecules are approximately 80 nucleotides in length. RNAcentral also lists the same sequence under 2 other names. Lineage: Eukaryota; Metazoa; Chordata; Actinopteri; Elopiformes; Elopidae. The record is from RNAcentral.